RNAcentral lists this transfer RNA (88 nucleotides) under Hyphococcus sp. RNAcentral's name for it is "tRNA-Val". The record is from RNAcentral. Lineage: Bacteria; Pseudomonadati; Pseudomonadota; Alphaproteobacteria; Parvularculales; Parvularculaceae.
UACGGGUUGCUCAGUGUACGCCCUGAGUAGCGACUGACAAUCGCUCAUAACCUAAAGGUCAGAGGUUCAAAUCCUCUCCCCGCACCCA